Molecule: ribosomal RNA, 260 nt
Filed under: uncultured bacterium
Lineage: Bacteria
Description: partial 16S ribosomal RNA
Rfam family: Bacterial small subunit ribosomal RNA
Source: RNAcentral
AUAAGCCUACGGGGCGCAGCAGUGAGGAAUAUUGGUCAAUGGGCGAGAGCCUGAACCAGCCAAGUCGCGUGAGGGAAGACGGUCCUAUGGAUUGUAAACCUCUUUUGCCGGGGAGCAAAAAGCGGUACGUGUACCGCAUCGAGAGUACCCGGAGAAAAAGCAUCGGCUAACUCCGUGCCAGCAGCCGCGGUAAUACGGAGGAUGCGCGCGUUAUCCGGAAUUAUUGGGUUUAAAGGGAGCGCAGGCGUCGAGUUACGUCA